RNAcentral lists this ribosomal RNA (917 nucleotides) under uncultured marine bacterium. Its description in RNAcentral is "bacterial SSU rRNA". It matches the Rfam family "Bacterial small subunit ribosomal RNA", at positions 8 to 916 of the family's 1533-position model. The record is from RNAcentral.
AGAGUUUGAUCCUGGCUCAGGAUGAACGCUAGCGGCAGGCUUAACACAUGUAAGUCGAGGGUAACAGGGGUUGCUUGCAACCCGCUGACGACCGGCGCACGGGUGCGUAACGCGUAUGCAACCUACCUUCUACAGGGGGAUAGUCAAUAGAAAUGUUGAAUAAUACCCCAUACGAUCAUUAAUCUGCAUGGAUUGAUGAGGAAAGUUCCGGCGGUAGAAGAUGGGCAUGCGUCCUAUUAGUUAGUUGGUAAGGUAACGGCUUACCAAGACGUCGAUAGGUAGGGGUCCUGAGAGGGAGAUCCCCCACACUGGUACUGAGACACGGACCAGACUCCUACGGGAGGCAGCAGUGAGGAAUAUUGGACAAUGGAGGCAACUCUGAUCCAGCCAUGCCGCGUGCAGGAAGACGGCCCUAUGGGUUGUAAACUGCUUUUAUACAGGAAGAAUGGUACCUACGUGUAGGUAUUUGACGGUACUGUACGAAUAAGGAUCGGCUAACUCCGUGCCAGCAGCCGCGGUAAUACGGAGGAUCCAAGCGUUAUCCGGAAUCAUUGGGUUUAAAGGGUCCGUAGGCGGUCUGAUAAGUCAGAGGUGAAAUCCUGCAGCUCAACUGUAGCAUUGCCUUUGAUACUGUUAGACUUGAGUUAUUGUGAAGUAGUUAGAAUGUGUGGUGUAGCGGUGAAAUGCAUAGAUAUCACACAGAAUACCGAUUGCGAAGGCAGAUUACUAACAAUACACUGACGCUGAGGGACGAAAGCGUGGGUAGCGAACAGGAUUAGAUACCCUGGUAGUCCACGCCGUAAACGAUGGAUACUAGCUGUUCGACCAACAUGGGUUGGUUGAGUGGCUAAGCGAAAGUGAUAAGUAUCCCACCUGGGGAGUACGCUCGCAAGAGUGAAACUUAAAGGAAUUGACGG